UCCACAUAUCUGUCUUUGCCUCUCUAUCCUC
This 31-nucleotide non-coding RNA is filed under the name Mus musculus (house mouse). Lineage: Eukaryota; Metazoa; Chordata; Mammalia; Rodentia; Muridae. The record is from RNAcentral.